CCCCUCCCCCGAGCCCGGAAUGGAUCCGUCCCGGAAAUAAAUAAAUAAAUAAACCCGCGGCUGCUCCGGGUGUGUGCUGCGCGCACCUGAGGCCGACCUGUGAUUCACCGCGGGAGGGAUGGCCGUUGACAACGCUCUAGGGAAGUCCACAGUGACUCCUCUGCCGGGACGCCGCUGGUUGUAUAGGAAAAGCACGCGGACGGGAAGCCACACUCACCGAAAACCUCAGUAUACUAAAUUGAUGAGUUUACAUCUGUUCUAUCAAUGACCACGGUGCACACCUGUUUUUCUUCAUGGCUGGCAACUACAGAUCUAGGUAUUCAAGAUCAAGAGGGAUAAUUACAUAUUAUAAGCUGCACGGAGAAGAGUAAUCAAGGUGGACAUGAACUUGUGCUAUACACGUUUUGGGUUGAAGAACUCUGUGUGGAAAGUAAAGAAGAAAAAAAUUAGGGAACAAGUAGUAGUUGAAUACAGCUAUGUGAAACUAUAAGAACUAUGUGAAAGAGGGUUUGGAUCCAAAGAUGAAAAGAGCUGACACAAGAGUGGAUUUUUUGAGAGCUGUUGGAGCAGAGAAAACUUGAAGGAGAUACAGUGAGUAGAACACAACCUCUAGGUGGUCUGAAAACCUGAGGACCUCAGUACCUCCCAACUCUCAUAUUCUCAAUAGUUUUUCUAGAAAAGCCCAUAACCUAUAACCUAUAAAGAUGGGGCAUAACCUAUAAAGAUGAUAGCAACUAAAACAGAUAUAUCAAUGACAUAAAAUGUU
Long non-coding RNA from Mandrillus leucophaeus (drill), 766 nucleotides. RefSeq lists it as uncharacterized. The record is from RefSeq and is a predicted model, not a curated record. NCBI's taxonomy places the organism in Eukaryota, Metazoa, Chordata, Mammalia, Primates, Cercopithecidae. The transcript has 2 exons.